Hibiscus syriacus is the source of this 1425-nucleotide long non-coding RNA. RefSeq lists it as uncharacterized. Lineage: Eukaryota; Viridiplantae; Streptophyta; Magnoliopsida; Malvales; Malvaceae. The record is from RefSeq and is a predicted model, not a curated record. The transcript has 4 exons.
CUCAACUCUAAGCGGCCUCAUGCUUUUGAGAAAUCUCUCAAAUUUCACCUCCAUUCUCUCUCGGCCGACUCCUCAAAGGCCCAAGGCAUUCACUCUAAAGUCACGGGCCACUCAUCGACCACCACUUUUCGGUGGCCAUACUCCGAUCUCGAUGGCUAAACAAACCAAAACUAACCCCAAAUCAAAUCUAAACAUCACUUUUCUUUAACCCUUAUCUCUUUAACCCAUGGUUGCAGCCUUCGAGAAAACAAAGCCAUCGUCGUGGCUACCGCAUCUGGGUAGCCAUCCCUACCUCCGAACGCCCAAAUCCAAAACCAGAACUUUGGGGUUUUUUUUGGUAUAAAUACAGGGAAUGGAGAGUCACAUGUUGCACUAUCCUUCAAUGAAUUCUUUUUAGCUUUCUGGGUUUUUUUAUAGAGCUUGAGAAUUUCAUUUCUGAUUCAAAGAAAGAGAAAAUGAAGGGAUUUGUUCUAUUUAUGGCCGUUGGUGUUUUCUUACUACGUGGAAGUGUUGUGAGUAAAUAGUGUACGAACAUCCCAACUCAGCUAUUGUCACAUAGUUUUCGUUACGAGCUGUUGAAAUCUAAUAACGAGACAUGGAGACAUGAGAUGUUUGCUCAUUACCACUUAAUCCCGACAGAUGACUCUGCUUGGUCUGAUUUGUUACCAAGGAAGAUUUUGAGAGGAGAAGAUGAAUUGAGCUGGUAGAUGACGUAUCAGUGCAUAAAGUUAGAUUGGAUUCUAAUUCGAUUCACUAGAGAGCACAACAAACUAACUUAGAGUACUUGAUGAUGCUUGAUGUGGAUGAUUUGGUGUGGAGUUUUGGGAAAACUACUGGUUUGCCUACUCUUGGGAAGCCAUAUGGAGGGUGGGAGGCACGCGAUGUUGAGCUCCGGGGUCAUAUCGUCGGGCAUUACUUGAGUGCCAUGACACAGAUGUGGGAUAGCACUCACAAUGACACUCUCAAAGAGAAGAUGUCGGCAGUCGUGUAUGCCUUAUCCACUUCAGAAGAAAAUGGGGACCAGAUAUCUUUCGGCAUUUCAGUCUGAUCUUUUUGAUCAUUUCGAACCAAUAAAACCGUCUGGGCUCCAUACUACACCAUUCACAAGAUCAUGGCAGGUCUCCUGGAUCAAUAUACAUUUUCCGAUAAUGUUGAAUCUUUAGAUAUGACAAAAUGGAUGGUCAAAUACUUUUAUGGCCGUGUUCGGAAUGUUAUAACAAAGCACAGUGUGGAGAGACAUUGACAGUCACUUAACGAAGAAACCAGUGGCAUGAACAACAUCCUCUACAGAUUGUUUACCAUAACGGUGGGUAAAUUUCACUUUUGUUUUACUUACCGCAUCUCGUUUAUUUCACUUUCUUUUUUUCGAAACUCCCCUUCCCCCUAUUUGUAUGUUUGUUUGAAUGAAAAGGAAAAUGACUUUAA